Molecule: ribosomal RNA, 260 nt
Filed under: uncultured Eubacterium sp.
Lineage: Bacteria; Bacillati; Bacillota; Clostridia; Eubacteriales; Eubacteriaceae
Description: partial 16S ribosomal RNA
Rfam family: Bacterial small subunit ribosomal RNA
Source: RNAcentral
AUUGAUCUAGUUCUCUAGAGUAAAAUGGAGUGGGCGGAAUAUGUCAUGUAGCGGUGAAAUGCAUAGAUAUGACAUAGAACACCGAUCGCGAAGGCAGCUCACUAAGAUGUUACUGACGCUGAUGCACGAAAGCGUGGGGAUCAAACAGGAUUAGAUACCCUGGUAGUCCACGCUGUAAACGAUGAUAACUCGUUGUCGGGGAUAUACAGUCGGUGACCAAGCGAAAGCGAUAAGUUAUCCACCUGGGGAGUACGAUCGCA